UCCGGUUUGUCACCGGCAGUCUCCCUAGAGUUCCCACCAUUACGUGCUGGCAACUAGGGACAAGGGUUGCGCUCGUUGCGGGACUUAACCCAACAUCUCACGACACGAGCUGACGACAGCCAUGCAGCACCUGUGUUCCGAUUCCCUUUCGGGCACACCCACCUUUCAGCGGGCUUCCGGACAUGUCAAGGGUAGGUAAGGUUGUUCGCGUUGCAUCGAAUUAAUCCACAUCAUCCACCGCUUGUGCGGGCCCCCGUCAAUUCCUUUGAGUUUCAGCCUUGCGGCCGUACUCCCCAGGCGGGGCACUUACUGCGUUAGCGACGGCACCGAGAGGGUCGCUCCCCCCGACGCCUAGUGCCCAUCGUUUACGGCAUGGACUAC
This 381-nucleotide unclassified non-coding RNA is filed under the name uncultured bacterium. Its description in RNAcentral is "contains 16S-23S intergenic spacer region". The record is from RNAcentral.